RNAcentral lists this ribosomal RNA (274 nucleotides) under uncultured bacterium. Its description in RNAcentral is "partial 16S ribosomal RNA". It matches the Rfam family "Archaeal small subunit ribosomal RNA", at positions 473 to 747 of the family's 1478-position model. The record is from RNAcentral.
AAACCAGCACCUCAAGUGGUCAGGAUGAUUAUUGGGCCUAAAGCAUCCGUAGCCUGUUCUGUAAGUUUUCGGUUAAAUCUGUAUGCUCAACAUACAGGCUGCCGGAAAUACUGCAGGACUAGGGAGUGGGAGAGGUAGACGGUACUCGGGAGGAAGUGGUAAAAUGCUUUGAUCUCUCGAUGACCACCUGUGGCGAAGGCGGUCUACCAGAACACGUCCGACGGUGAGGGAUGAAAGCUGGGGGAGCAAACCGGAUUAGAAACCCCAGUAGUCC